AAGUCGUAACAAGGUUUCCGUAGGUCAACCUGCGGAAGGAUCAUUAACACGUAUCCACACGUUAAAACCCCCCCCGUGAACCUUCAUCUUGCUCUUGUAACCCGCGUAGUUCGCAAUCUCUGAUAAAUCAUAGCCCGGAAAGUUGUAGUGAUUCAGAGACCUCUGGCUACGUGCGAACAUUGGAACAGUUACAAUCGUCAUUGUCGGAAAGUGUCAUUGAUUGUGCAAGGAUAGCGCUUCUACGAUUCCUGUAGACCGUACACUCGAGCAGGAGCUUUGCCAAAGGGUCCCCAUGCCCCCUAACAACCCCACAGUUUAAUGUGAAGCUCAAUGUAAUACAUUGGGUAAAAAAACGGAACAACUGUUAACAAUGGAUAUCUUGGUUCUC
RNAcentral lists this unclassified non-coding RNA (388 nucleotides) under fungal sp. RNAcentral's name for it is "partial internal transcribed spacer region". The stretch from base 1 to 46 matches the Rfam family "Eukaryotic small subunit ribosomal RNA", at positions 1786 to 1831 of the family's 1831-position model. Lineage: Eukaryota; Fungi. The record is from RNAcentral.